This 449-nucleotide ribosomal RNA is filed under the name uncultured bacterium. RNAcentral's name for it is "bacterial SSU rRNA". It matches the Rfam family "Bacterial small subunit ribosomal RNA", at positions 954 to 1402 of the family's 1533-position model. The record is from RNAcentral.
GAUUAACGCGAAGAACCUUACCUGGGCUCGAACGGCCUCUCAACGGCGCUGGAAACAGUGCUAUCCCGCAAGGGAGUGGGGUCGAGGUGCUGCAUGGCUGUCGUCAGCUCGUGUCGUGAGAUGUUGGGUUAAGUCCCACAACGAGCGCAACCCUUGUCCUGUGUUGCUAAUCCGCAAGGAUGCACUCUCAGGAGACCGCCAGCGAUAAGUUGGAGGAAGGUGGGGAUGACGUCAAGUCAUCAUGGCCUUUAUGUCCAGGGCCACACACGUGCUACAAUGGGCGGUACAAACCGACGCCAACCCGCGAGGGGGAGCAAAUCGGAAAAAACCGUUCUCAGUUCGGAUCGCAGGCUGCAACCCGCCUGCGUGAAGCUGGAAUCGCUAGUAAUGGCGCAUCAGCACGGCGCCGUGAAUACGUUCCCGGGCCUUGUACACACCGAAUCACUAGU